AUUGAACGCUGGCGGAAUGCUUUACACAUGCAAGUCGAACGGCAGCACGGACUUCGGUCUGGUGGCGAGUGGCGAACGGGUGAGUAAUGUAUCGGAACGUGCCCAGUCGUGGGGGAUAACGUAGUGAAAAUUACGCUAAUACCGCAUACGAUCUAUGGAUGAAAGCGGGGGAUCGCAAGACCUCGCGCGAUUGGAGCGGCCGAUAUAAGAUUAGGUAGUUGGGGGGGUAAAGGCCCACAAAGCCAACGAUCUGUAGCUGGUCCGAGAGGACGACCAGCCCAACUGGAAGGGAGACAGUGUCCAGACUCCUACGGGAUGCAGCAGUGGGGAAUUUUGGACAAUGGGCGAAAGCCUGAUCCAGCCAUUCCGCGUGCAGGAUGAAGGCCCUCGGGUUGUAAACUGCUUUUGUACAGAACGAAAAGGUUUCUACUAAUACUAGGAGCUCAUGACGGUACUGUAAGAAUAAGCACCGGCUAACUACGUGCCAGCAGCCGCCGUAA
RNAcentral lists this ribosomal RNA (500 nucleotides) under uncultured bacterium. Its description in RNAcentral is "partial 16S ribosomal RNA". It matches the Rfam family "Bacterial small subunit ribosomal RNA", at positions 30 to 523 of the family's 1533-position model. The record is from RNAcentral.